This 227-nucleotide ribosomal RNA is filed under the name uncultured bacterium. Its description in RNAcentral is "partial 16S ribosomal RNA". It matches the Rfam family "Bacterial small subunit ribosomal RNA", at positions 103 to 334 of the family's 1533-position model. The record is from RNAcentral.
CGGGUGAGUAAUGUCUGGGAAACUGCCUGAUGGAGGGGGAUAACUACUGGAAACGGUAGCUAAUACCGCAUAACGUCGCAAGACCAAAGAGGGGGACCUUAGGGCCUCUUGCCAUCGGAUGUGCCCAGAUGGGAUUAGCUAGUAGGUGGGGUAAUGGCUCACCUAGGCGACGAUCCCUAGCUGGCUGAGAGGAUGACCAGCCACACUGGAACUGAGACACGGUCCAG